RNAcentral lists this unclassified non-coding RNA (502 nucleotides) under uncultured Diversispora. RNAcentral describes it as "SSU rRNA". It matches the Rfam family "Eukaryotic small subunit ribosomal RNA", at positions 591 to 1092 of the family's 1831-position model. Lineage: Eukaryota; Fungi; Glomeromycota; Glomeromycetes; Diversisporales; Diversisporaceae. The record is from RNAcentral.
CCAAUAGCGUAUAUUAAAGUUGUUGCAGUUAAAAAGCUCGUAGUUGAACUUCGGGGUCUACCCAUUGGUCAGGCUUAAUUGUCUGCACUGGUGAGAUGGAUCUCUACCUUCUGAGGAACUUUCAUGCCAUUUAUUUGGUGUGAUGGGAAAUCAGGACUGUUACUUUGAAAAAAUUAGAGUGUUUAAAGCAGACUAUCGUCUGAAUACAUUAGCAUGGAAUAAUGAAAUAGGACGGACUGAUUCUAUUUCGUUGGUUUCUAGGAUCAACGUAAUGAUUAAUAGGGAUAGUUGGGGGCAUUAGUAUUCAAUUGUCAGAGGUGAAAUUCUUGGAUUUAUUGAAGACUAACUACUGCGAAAGCAUUUGCCAAGGAUGUUUUCAUUAAUCAAGAACGAAAGUUAGGGGAUCGAAGACGAUCAGAUACCGUCGUAGUCUUAACCAUAAACUAUGCCGACUAGGGAUCGGACGAAGUUAAUUUUAUAAUGACGCGUUCGGCACCUUACG